RNAcentral lists this ribosomal RNA (465 nucleotides) under uncultured bacterium. Its description in RNAcentral is "partial 16S ribosomal RNA". It matches the Rfam family "Bacterial small subunit ribosomal RNA", at positions 28 to 507 of the family's 1533-position model. The record is from RNAcentral.
GAUGAACGCUGGCGGCGUGCUUAACACAUGCAAGUCGAACGGAAAGGCUCCUGCUUGCAGGGGUACUCGAGUGGCGAACGGGUGAGUAACACGUGGGUGAUCUGCCCUGCACUUCGGGAUAAGCCUGGGAAACUGGGUCUAAUACCGGAUAGGACCACAUUUUGGAUGGUGUGGUGGAAAGUUUUUCGGUGUGGGAUGAGCUCGCGGCCUAUCAGCUUGUUGGUGGGGUAAUGGCCUACCAAGGCGUCGACGGGUAGCCGGCCUGAGAGGGUGUACGGCCACAUUGGGACUGAGAUACGGCCCAGACUCCUACGGGAGGCAGCAGUGGGGAAUAUUGCACAAUGGGCGCAAGCCUGAUGCAGCGACGCCGCGUGGGGGAUGACGGCCUUCGGGUUGUAAACUCCUUUCGCUAGGGACGAAGCGCAAGUGACGGUACCUGGAGAAGAAGCACCGGCCAACUACGUG